This 428-nucleotide ribosomal RNA is filed under the name uncultured bacterium. Its description in RNAcentral is "bacterial SSU rRNA". It matches the Rfam family "Bacterial small subunit ribosomal RNA", at positions 30 to 504 of the family's 1533-position model. The record is from RNAcentral.
UGAACGCUGGCGGCAUGCCUAACACAUGCAAGUCGAACGAGAUCUUCGGAUCUAGUGGCGCACGGGUGCGUAACGCGUGGGAAUCUACCCUUGGGUUCGGAAUAACAGCGAGAAAUUGCUGCUAAUACCGGAUGAUGACGUAAGUCCAAAGAUUUAUCGCCCAGGGAUGAGCCCGCGUAGGAUUAGGUAGUUGGUGUGGUAAAGGCGCACCAAGCCUACGAUCCUUAGCUGGUCUGAGAGGAUGAUCAGCCACACUGGGACUGAGACACGGCCCAGACUCCUACGGGAGGCAGCAGUGGGGAAUAUUGGACAAUGGGCGAAAGCCUGAUCCAGCAAUGCCGCGUGAGUGAUGAAGGCCUUAGGGUUGUAAAGCUCUUUUACCCGGGAUGAUAAUGACAGUACCGGGAGAAUAAGCUCCGGCUAACUCC